GAUGAACGCUGGCGGUAUGCCUAACACAUGCAAGUCGUACGAGAGUUUUUAACUCUAGUGGCGGACGGGUGAGUAACACGUGAGAAUUUGCCUUUAGGAGGGGGACAACAAUCGGAAACGAAUGCUAAUACCCCAUAUGCUUUUGAGUGAAACGGAUUUAUCCGCCUAGAGAGAAGCUCGCGGCUGAUUAGCUUGUUGGUAAGGUAAGAGCUUACCAAGGCGACGAUCAGUAUCUGGUUUGAGAGGACGAUCAGACACACUGGAACUGAGACACGGUCCAGACUCCUACGGGAGGCAGCAGUGGGGAAUAUUGGGCAAUGGAGGAAACUCUGACCCAGCGACGCCGCGUGCGGGAUGAAGGCCUUCGGGUUGUAAACCGCUUUCAGCAGGGAAGAAGCGAAAGUGACGGUACCUGCAGAAGAAGCACCGGCUAACUAUGUG
Molecule: ribosomal RNA, 441 nt
Filed under: uncultured bacterium
Lineage: Bacteria
Description: bacterial SSU rRNA
Rfam family: Bacterial small subunit ribosomal RNA
Source: RNAcentral